This is a long non-coding RNA of Saccostrea cuccullata (small rock oyster), 1127 nucleotides long. RefSeq lists it as uncharacterized. The record is from RefSeq and is a predicted model, not a curated record. Lineage: Eukaryota; Metazoa; Mollusca; Bivalvia; Ostreida; Ostreidae. The transcript is spliced from 3 exons.
AAGCCGUAGGGUACCCCCACAUUAUUAUUAUUUUUUCCUAUAUAUCUAUACCAAAAAUAAUUAUGUCAUCGAAACUUGCUUUUUACAACAUUAUUAUUAUUUUCCUGCAACAAUUAUAAUCUUCUCUGUUAAAUGUGUACACAUUAUUAUAAUUGUGUCCUACAAAUAUAAUGAUUCACUUCACAACAAUAAUCUUGCCAGUCAAUAUGUAGACACAUUAUUAUAAUUUUUCGCCUGAUGAUUAUAAUAUUGUCAGUCGAUGUUUAUCACAUUAUAAUUAUUUUGUCCUACAAUUAUAAUGAUCCAAACUUUACAAUAAUAAUCUUGCCAGUCUAGUCUAUGUGGACACAUUAUUAUAAUUUUUCGCCUCAUGAUUUUUAAAAACAUUAUUUUUAUUUCACCACAAAAUUAUAAUAAUUAUUCCUACUUUACAAUGAUAAUCUUGUUUGUCCACAAGUAUACACAUUAUUUUUAUAUUUACAAUGAUAAUCUUAUUUUUCCAUGUAUACACAUUAUUUUUAUUUUCAACAUACAAUUAUAAUCUUUUCACUUCAUAUGUGUGUACACAUUAUUUUAUUUCGCUUCAAAUUUUUUUCUUUUAUAUUUCCACUGAAACAAUUGAACAGAAUUAUUAUUUUUAUUUCCGCUCAAUAAUCUUGUUCAUCACAGCCAUCAUACAAUAAUUAUAAUCUGUGGUACUCCAACAACAAUAAUAAUCGCGACCAGAAAAAAAGAUGCAACAUUAUUAUUAUUUAGACGCUUGACAAAACCAAACGUUUGUAUGAUUCUGAUGCGCAGUACAAUUAUAAUCUUGACUUUUACAAAUUUCUGGAAAGAUUAUUAUUAUUUGGACGCUUGACAGAAUCAAACAUCCUGUGGAUGCAGAUCACCACGUGCAAUCAAACCACGUGAAGCAUAGCGUUGACAGCACCCUACUGAGCAAGGACUACUGAUAAACUGACAAAUUGCUUAUCGUAUAUGGAAAGAGAUGUUUUGUGUGGAGUGUGGGACAUGCCUAAAUGGCCUUGCCAAAUUUUGUGGCCACUGUGGGGCCCAAGUUCAAGUAGAUAAAAAUUCAGUUCCCACCUGCUCCAGUCAAGCAAUGGAAAUUGAAAGCCUCUCACCAG